RNAcentral lists this unclassified non-coding RNA (335 nucleotides) under fungal sp. RNAcentral's name for it is "partial internal transcribed spacer region". The stretch from base 1 to 46 matches the Rfam family "Eukaryotic small subunit ribosomal RNA", at positions 1786 to 1831 of the family's 1831-position model. The record is from RNAcentral. Lineage: Eukaryota; Fungi.
AAGUCGUAACAAGGUUUCCGUAGGUGAACCUGCGGAAGGAUCAUUACCAAAGUAAAUUCACUUACCACUUGUGAACCGAGUCUAAGUCCUUGGGGGAGAUGUGAAAUUUGAAGGAAAAGUGUGUUGUGAGGGGUUCUCCCCCCCGCUCUGCACUUCUCCGUCUCUUUUCCUCUCCCCCAGCGGGGUGCCCGCCAUGCGCUUGCGUUUGGUGGUCUACAUCCGGCAUUGUAUUAAACCACAUGUAUUCAGUUUAAACUGGUUGUAUAGUAUACCUUUUCUCUUUUUGAGAAAUCAAAAAGUAAUGACAACUUUUAACGGUGGAUCUCUUGGCUCGU